GAUGAACGCUGGCGGCGUGCCUAAUACAUGCCAGUCGAGCGAACAGAUGAGGAGCUUGCUCCUCUGACGUUAGCGGCGGACGGGUGAGUAACACGUGGAUAACCUACCUAUAAGACUGGGAUAACUUCGGGAAACCGGAGCUAAUACCGGAUAAUAUAUUGAACCGCAUGGUUCAAUAGUGAAAGACGGUUUUGCUGUCACUUAUAGAUGGAUCCGCGCCGCAUUAGCUAGUUGGUAAGGUAACGGCUUACCAAGGCAACGAUGCGUAGCCGACCUGAGAGGGUGAGCGGGCACCAGCGGCGGGAAGCCCGCACCGGGCGCCAAAGGCAGGCAGCAGUCGGGCGUCUGGCGGCAUGGGGGAAUGCGGGACGGAGGACGGCAGCAUGAGUGAUGAAGGUCUUCUGAUGUUAGAACGCUGUUGUUAGGGAAAAACAAAUGGGUAGGGACGAAGGCACGUCUUGACGGUACCGAGAUAAGAAGCCACGGCUAACUACGUG
RNAcentral lists this ribosomal RNA (497 nucleotides) under uncultured bacterium. RNAcentral describes it as "partial 16S ribosomal RNA". It matches the Rfam family "Bacterial small subunit ribosomal RNA", at positions 28 to 507 of the family's 1533-position model. The record is from RNAcentral.